RNAcentral lists this ribosomal RNA (490 nucleotides) under uncultured bacterium. RNAcentral describes it as "partial 16S ribosomal RNA". It matches the Rfam family "Bacterial small subunit ribosomal RNA", at positions 28 to 507 of the family's 1533-position model. The record is from RNAcentral.
GAUGAACGCUAGCUACAGGCUUAACACAUGCAAGUCGAGGGGCAGCAUGGUCUUAGCUUGCUAAGGCCGAUGGCGACCGGCGCACGGGUGAGUAACACGUAUCCAACCUGCCGUCUACUCUUGGACAGCCUUCUGAAAGGAGGAUUAAUACAAGAUGGCAUCAUGAGUCCGCAUGUUCACAUGAUUAAAGGUAUUCCGGUAGACGAUGGGGAUGCGUUCCAUUAGAUAGUAGGCGGGGUAACGGCCCACCUAGUCUUCGAUGGAUAGGGGUUCUGAGAGGAAGGUCCCCCACAUUGGAACUGAGACACGGUCCAAACUCCUACGGGAGGCAGCAGUGAGGAAUAUUGGUCAAUGGGCGAGAGCCUGAACCAGCCAAGUAGCGUGAAGGAUGACUGCCCUAUGGGUUGUAAACUUCUUUUAUAAAGGAAUAAAGUCGGGUAUGGAUACCCGUUUGCAUGUACUUUAUGAAUAAGGAUCGGCUAACUCCGUG